Molecule: ribosomal RNA, 409 nt
Filed under: bacterium
Lineage: Bacteria
Description: partial 16S ribosomal RNA
Rfam family: Bacterial small subunit ribosomal RNA
Source: RNAcentral
UGGGGAAUAUUGCACAAUGGGCGAAAGCCUGAUGCAGCGACGCCGUGUGAGGGAUGACGGCCUUCGGGUUGUAAACCUCUUUCAGCAGGGACGAAGCGCAAGUGACGGUACCUGCAGAAGAAGCACCGGCUAACUACGUGCCAGCAGCCGCGGUAAUACGUAGGGUGCAAGCGUUGUCCGGAAUUACUGGGCGUAAAGAGUUCGUAGGCGGUUUGUCGCGUCGUUUGUGAAAACCAGCAGCUCAACUGCUGGCUUGCAGGCGAUACGGGCAGACUUGAGUACUGCAGGGGAGACUGGAAUUCCUGGUGUAGCGGUGAAAUGCGCAGAUAUCAGGAGGAACACCGGUGGCGAAGGCGGGUCUCUGGGCAGUAACUGACGCUGAGGAACGAAAGCGUGGGUAGCGAACAGG